GGGAUGUCAGUGUUGUUGCACAUAUGAAGCCAUUUUAUUGCCUACUUUCUUUAAAAAACUAUUUUAUCUACUUGAUUUUUAAAAUUAUGGUUUUGUUGAUUUCUGGUUUUUACUAUCUAGUUCUUCGCCCUUCCUACUACAAGUUGUAUUGCUGGUCGUUGUCCUAGUAUCAAAUCUUAAGACCUGGUUCCAGCUAUUUGUAAUGUCUUUC
RNAcentral lists this unclassified non-coding RNA (211 nucleotides) under Hevea brasiliensis (rubber tree). The record is from RNAcentral. Lineage: Eukaryota; Viridiplantae; Streptophyta; Magnoliopsida; Malpighiales; Euphorbiaceae.